RNAcentral lists this ribosomal RNA (901 nucleotides) under uncultured Actinomycetes bacterium. RNAcentral describes it as "bacterial SSU rRNA". It matches the Rfam family "Bacterial small subunit ribosomal RNA", at positions 8 to 918 of the family's 1533-position model. The record is from RNAcentral. Lineage: Bacteria; Bacillati; Actinomycetota; Actinomycetes.
AGAGUUUGAUUCUGGCUCAGGACGAACGCUGGCGGCGUGCUUAACACAUGCAAGUCGAACGGAAAGGCCCUGCUUUUGUGGGGUGCUCGAGUGGCGAACGGGUGAGUAACACGUGAGUAACCUGCCCUUGACUUUGGGAUAACUUCAGGAAACUGGGGCUAAUACCGGAUAGGAGCUCCUGCUGCAUGGUGGGGGUUGGAAAGUUUCGGCGGUUGGGGAUGGACUCGCGGCUUAUCAGCUUGUUGGUGGGGUAGUGGCUUACCAAGGCUUUGACGGGUAGCCGGCCUGAGAGGGUGACCGGCCACAUUGGGACUGAGAUACGGCCCAGACUCCUACGGGAGGCAGCAGUGGGGAAUAUUGCACAAUGGGCGGAAGCCUGAUGCAGCAACGCCGCGUGCGGGAUGACGGCCUUCGGGUUGUAAACCGCUUUCGCCUGUGACGAAGCGUGAGUGACGGUAAAGGGUAAAGAAGCACCGGCUAACUACGUGCCAGCAGCCGCGGUGAUACGUAGGGUGCGAGCGUUGUCCGGAUUUAUUGGGCGUAAAGGGCUCGUAGGUGGUUGAUCGCGUCGGAAGUGUAAUCUUGGGGCUUAACCCUGAGCGUGCUUUCGAUACGGGUUGACUUGAGGAAGGUAGGGGAGAAUGGAAUUCCUGGUGGAGCGGUGGAAUGCGCAGAUAUCAGGAGGAACACCAGUGGCGAAGGCGGUUCUCUGGGCCUUUCCUGACGCUGAGGAGCGAAAGCGUGGGGAGCGAACAGGCUUAGAUACCCUGGUAGUCCACGCUGUAAACGGUGGGUACUAGGUGUGGGGUCCAUUCCACGGGUUCCGUGCCGUAGCUAACGCUUUAAGUACCCCGCCUGGGGAGUACGGCCGCAAGGCUAAAACUCAAAUGAAUUGACGGGG